This 411-nucleotide ribosomal RNA is filed under the name uncultured Actinomyces sp. RNAcentral describes it as "bacterial SSU rRNA". It matches the Rfam family "Bacterial small subunit ribosomal RNA", at positions 338 to 765 of the family's 1533-position model. Lineage: Bacteria; Bacillati; Actinomycetota; Actinomycetes; Actinomycetales; Actinomycetaceae. The record is from RNAcentral.
CCUACGGGAGGCAGCAGUGGGGAAUCUUGCGCAAUGGGCGAAAGCCUGACGCAGCAAUGCCGCGUGAGGGAAGACGGCCUUAGGGUUGUAAACCUCUUUCAGCAGGGACGAAAACAGACGGUACCUGCAGAAGAAGCCCCGGCUAACUACGUGCCAGCAGCCGCGGUAAUACGUAGGGGGCGAGCGUUGUCCGGAAUCAUUGGGCGUAAAGAGCGUGUAGGUGGACUGGAAGGUCUGGUGUGAAAGCCCGGGGCUCAACCCCGGAGGGUCACUGGAAACCAACAGUCUUGAGUCCGGAAGAGGAGAGUGGAAUUCCUGGUGUAGCGGUGGAAUGCGCAGAUAUCAGGAGGAACACCGAUGGCGAAGGCAGCUCUCUGGUACGUGACUGACACUGAGACGCGAAAGCGUGGG